CUCACCAAAACCUCCACUCCUAAAAUCUCUCCAACAACCAAAUAAAUCAAUAUCCAUCAGUUUAAUAUCCCACAUUCACGUCUUUCACAUCCAAGUAAAAUCUGUGAAAAACCUACGGCAGUUUUUCUCCUCUUCCGUGAAGAGUGUGGAGGAGAAACCAGAGAGUUGUGAUCUUUUUUAAUACCUUCUCUUCUGCAAGUUCUGCUUCUUCCGUGAAGGGUGAACUUGUGCACGUUGUUGCGGUUUGGAACAGAAAAUGAUUGAGGAGUAAGCUUUUGAGAUUGAGCGGCGAUGGACGUGGAGGAUGUUGAGCAGAGUUCAUGGAUUGUUUUGUCAUGAUUAAUAAUUGUUGGAUUUGUCGUGUCUUCAUACUCGGCAUUUUCCGUGUCUUGAACACUUCCGCUAAGAGUCCUUUUCUUUAGAAUUGUUUAUUCGUGCAGAGUCUAACUCGUUGAAAAUUGUUUACUGUCCAUUCUUUAUUUC
This is a long non-coding RNA of Salvia splendens (bonfire salvia), 483 nucleotides long. RefSeq lists it as uncharacterized. NCBI's taxonomy places the organism in Eukaryota, Viridiplantae, Streptophyta, Magnoliopsida, Lamiales, Lamiaceae. The record is from RefSeq and is a predicted model, not a curated record. The transcript is spliced from 4 exons.